UAGAGUUUGAUCCUGGCUCAGAUUGAACGCUGGCGGCAGGCCUAACACAUGCAAGUCGAGCGGUAGAGAGAAGCUUGCUUCUCUUGAGAGCGGCGGACGGGUGAGUAAUGCCUAGGAAUCUGCCUGGUAGUGGGGGAUAACGUUCGGAAACGGACGCUAAUACCGCAUACGUCCUACGGGAGAAAGCAGGGGACCUUCGGGCCUUGCGCUAUCAGAUGAGCCUAGGUCGGAUUAGCUAGUUGGUGAGGUAAUGGCUCACCAAGGCGACGAUCCGUAACUGGUCUGAGAGGAUGAUCAGUCACACUGGAACUGAGACACGGUCCAGACUCCUACGGGAGGCAGCAGUGGGGAAUAUUGGACAAUGGGCGAAAGCCUGAUCCAGCCAUGCCGCGUGUGUGAAGAAGGUCUUCGGAUUGUAAAGCACUUUAAGUUGGGAGGAAGGGUUGUAGAUUAAUACUCUGCAAUUUUGACGUUACCGACAGAAUAAGCACCGGCUAACUCUGUGCCAGCAGCCGCGGUAAUACAGAGGGUGCAAGCGUUAAUCGGAAUUACUGGGCGUAAAGCGCGCGUAGGUGGUUUGUUAAGUUGGAUGUGAAAUCCCCGGGCUCAACCUGGGAACUGCAUUCAAAACUGACUGACUAGAGUAUGGUAGAGGGUGGUGGAAUUUCCUGUGUAGCGGUGAAAUGCGUAGAUAUAGGAAGGAACACCAGUGGCGAAGGCGACCACCUGGACUAAUACUGACACUGAGGUGCGAAAGCGUAGGGAGCAAACAGGAUUAGAUACCCUGGUAGUCCACGCCGUAAACGAUGUCAACUAGCCGUUGGAAGCCUUGAGCUUUUAGUGGCGCAGCUAACGCAUUAAGUUGACCGCCUGGGGAGUACGGCCGCAAGGUUAAAACUCAAAUGAAUUGACGGGGGCCCGCACAAGCGGUGGAGCAUGUGGUUUAAUUCGAAGCAACGCGAAGAACCUUACCAGGCCUUGACAUCCAAUGAACUUUCUAGAGAUAGAUUGGUGCCUUCGGGAACAUUGAGACAGGUGCUGCAUGGCUGUCGUCAGCUCGUGUCGUGAGAUGUUGGGUUAAGUCCCGUAACGAGCGCAACCCUUGUCCUUAGUUACCAGCACGUAAUGGUGGGCACUCUAAGGAGACUGCCGGUGACAAACCGGAGGAAGGUGGGGAUGACGUCAAGUCAUCAUGGCCCUUACGGCCUGGGCUACACACGUGCUACAAUGGUCGGUACAGAGGGUUGCCAAGCCGCGAGGUGGAGCUAAUCCCAUAAAACCGAUCGUAGUCCGGAUCGCAGUCUGCAACUCGACUGCGUGAAGUCGGAAUCGCUAGUAAUCGCGAAUCAGAAUGUCGCGGUGAAUACGUUCCCGGGCCUUGUACACACCGCCCGUCACACCAUGGGAGUGGGUUGCACCAGAAGUAGCUAGUCUAACCUUCGGGAGGACGGUUACCACGGUGUGAUUCAUGACUGGGGUGAAGUCGUAACAAGGUAGCCGU
Molecule: ribosomal RNA, 1501 nt
Filed under: Pseudomonas sp. Z16zhy
Lineage: Bacteria; Pseudomonadati; Pseudomonadota; Gammaproteobacteria; Pseudomonadales; Pseudomonadaceae
Description: bacterial SSU rRNA
Rfam family: Bacterial small subunit ribosomal RNA
Source: RNAcentral